Molecule: ribosomal RNA, 259 nt
Filed under: Burkholderia cenocepacia
Lineage: Bacteria; Pseudomonadati; Pseudomonadota; Betaproteobacteria; Burkholderiales; Burkholderiaceae
Description: partial 16S ribosomal RNA
Rfam family: Bacterial small subunit ribosomal RNA
Source: RNAcentral
UUGAACUGAAGAGUUUGAUCCUGGCUCAGAUUGAACGCUGGCGGCAUGCCUUACACAUGCAAGUCGAACGGCAGCACGGGUGCUUGCACCUGGUGGCGAGUGGCGAACGGGUGAGUAAUACAUCGGAACAUGUCCUGUAGUGGGGGAUAGCCCGGCGAAAGCCGGAUUAAUACCGCAUACGAUCCACGGAUGAAAGCGGGGGACCUUCGGGCCUCGCGCUAUAGGGUUGGCCGAUGGCUGAUUAGCUAGUUGGUGGGGU